This 253-nucleotide ribosomal RNA is filed under the name uncultured bacterium. RNAcentral describes it as "partial 16S ribosomal RNA". It matches the Rfam family "Bacterial small subunit ribosomal RNA", at positions 524 to 776 of the family's 1533-position model. The record is from RNAcentral.
UACGUAGGGUGCGAGCGUUAAUCGGAAUUACUGGGCGUAAAACGUGCGCAGGCGGCGCGUUAAGACAGGUGUGAAAGCCCCGAGCUUAACUUGGGAAUUGCGCUUGUGACUGGCGAGCUGGAGUGUGGCAGAGGGAGGUGGAAUUCCACGUGUAGCAGUGAAAUGCGUAGAGAUGUGGAGGAACACCGAUGGCGAAGGCAGCCUCCUGGGCCAGCACUGACGCUCAUGCACGAAAGCGUGGGGAGCAAACAGG